This 167-nucleotide non-coding RNA is filed under the name Eucalyptus grandis. Its description in RNAcentral is "Bacterial small subunit ribosomal RNA". It matches the Rfam family "Bacterial small subunit ribosomal RNA", at positions 577 to 744 of the family's 1533-position model. Lineage: Eukaryota; Viridiplantae; Streptophyta; Magnoliopsida; Myrtales; Myrtaceae. The record is from Rfam by way of RNAcentral.
GGCUUUUUAAGUUCGCCAUCAAAAUCCAAGGGCUCAACCCCGGAUAGGCAUUGAAAACUACUAAGUGGGAGUGUGAUAGGGGUACAGGGAAUUUCCGGUGGAGCGGUGAAAUGCAUGAAGAUUGGAAACAACACCAACAGCAAAGGCACAAUGCUAGGCUGACUAAC